CAGGCUGGAGUGAACAGGAACCACGAGAGGCAGGGAGGACUGUACAGGGGCUGCUGACCAGGUGGAAGAUGAUGGGAGCCUCAGAAGGUGUCAUGGGACAGGGUCAGGGAGAGGGCUCUAUGCGGCCAGGAUCUGGAUGCAGAUUGUUGGGACUGAAAUUAGGCUCAGAUCCCUUCUAGUUGAGUCUGUUUAUCUUCAGUUUCCUUGUCUAUAAAAUGGGGAGAGAUUGUGUAUCCCUGGCAUCACUGGACUGUUAGUAGCUAUUGCAUUUAUAGCAUUUAUCCCAGAACCUGAAACACAGUAAAUGCUCAGUAAGUGUUAUUAUUUGCCCCAAACUGUCUUAGUGCUUUCCCCAAGAGCUUUGUGUUGUUUGUACUAUGAGGAAUAAUGAGGGUGGUGUGGGAGUCGGCCUCUGUGUCUGCAGAGAGGACCACAGGCCACAGGAAUAGAGACAGGUAGAUAGGAUCAAGGUGACAGGAACAGAUGUUCAGAGUAAGAGAUGAGGUCACCAUCAUCAACCCAGACAAGCCAGUUGGAGGCAUCUGUCCACCCAUGUGGUUCCAGACACGUUCAUGUGGCCACCAAGACCCCGUCGGCAUCACAGGAGUAACCAAGAGAGCAGCAAGUUCCUGGGACAGAGGAGAGAGAAGGGAAUUUCCAGGUUCUUCAGGACGUUCACAACCACACUGAGAAGCAUCUUUGCAGAUAAGUAUUUAAACUUACCAGCCCAUAGCCUACCAGCCUGCCCUCUUCUGGUCUGUGCAGGAAAGUGUAGUAUCCUAGAAUACCAAAGUGGGAGGGGAAACGGGUGAUGUAGCUCAUUCUCUUUUCUACCUCUAUGGAAGAAAGAAAGAGCCUGUCCCCAUUUUGUGGGGUCCCAGAAAGGGUGAUUUUUCACACUCCACAUUUGGCAUUAGGGCUAGUAUUUUAUAAACGUCACUGUAUGGAACUUUUGAAGGCUGA
Molecule: long non-coding RNA, 963 nt
Filed under: Pongo abelii (Sumatran orangutan)
Lineage: Eukaryota; Metazoa; Chordata; Mammalia; Primates; Hominidae
Description: lincRNA
Source: RNAcentral